UCGGCCCAAGUCCCUCAAGCCCAAACCUCUAAGCCCAACCCAAGCCCAACAACCCCAAACUAAGCCCUAGCCCAACACUCCCAUUUAUCCUCCCCCUCUCUUAAUCACACACACACACAUCUGAAACACACGCACACACUCACACAUUGGCGCACGCACACACCAGAGAUUGGUGCGGUGCCGCCCUCUUCUCCGGCGAAGAGUUAUCGCCGGCCACCCAUCUCACUCGACCUAACCAAAUCGUGCCGCCACGAUUCCUCUCUGGAACCCCGGCGAGUCAGCAGCGAGAAGCUACUGCCGGUCCGCCCCUCUCCCUCGAAUCUCCGGCCUCUCUCUCUCUCCAGCCGUGGCCGGGCAGCAGCGGCCGCGCCCUCCUUUUCCGGAUCCGGCGCCACCACUGCCCUGCCUCUCUUUCUCCUUUGGCCGACAGCAGCAGCCGUGGUGCUUCUGCCGCCGCGUCGCCACCGGAAAUAGAACAGGGACUGAGCGCCGCCUGCCGCCGCGCCGUUGCCGGCCGUGAGCAGCCGCCUCCUGUUCCUACCCGACACCUACAAUGACCAGCCGCCCCCAUCAAACUCCCAGCGACAAACGACGAGGUUGCUGCCGACAGCAACAACCAGCCGCACCGCCGUGGAAGCUCGCCGGGGAGCAGCGACAGCCGCUGACGACACUCGGUUCUCCCUCCUCAGAUCGACGGCAGCAAGGCCGCCGGCCGUCACCCCUCUUCGGUCUCCAGCGAGCAAAACAGACGGCCACCACCGCCGUCCGCCGACUCCUUCUCCACUCUUCACCGUGGCUAGGCAGCAACGGCAGAGCCGCAGCGCCUAGCCUCCCUCUCGACUCCAUUUUUCAAAAAUACAUCAAAAUUGGCAUGCUUCAUAUAUGUAUCUAUAUGCACAUAAAUUGUAUGUCUGAACACUUGGUGAUUUUAAGAAAUUGUUGUUCUUUAUGAAUGUGUAUACAUAUGCACCGAAAUGAUGAGAUGAAAGUAUGUGAA
Molecule: long non-coding RNA, 997 nt
Organism: Salvia miltiorrhiza (redroot sage)
Lineage: Eukaryota; Viridiplantae; Streptophyta; Magnoliopsida; Lamiales; Lamiaceae
Exons: 2
Source: RefSeq, a predicted model, not a curated record